AACAAAGCAAAAAUGUACUUGAGCGGUUGAGCCUAGACCUACUACUGGUUUAAAAAAAAAAUUAAAGUCUCGACUCAUCAUACGGGGAAGAACAUUCCAAUGAUUGAUGGCCAUAAACAUCAGCCAUGCAUGUUACUGAAAAAAAAGAGGGCAUCAAGAAAUACGGCGCAGCUUUGAGAGCACGAUCAGUGCUUCGUGGAGACCAUGGUACAGGAUUUCUUAUCUGAAAGCAAAUGAGGCUGCUGGAUGUUACAUCCCCCAAAACUCCAGUUCACGCCUGGCGAAUUCUUUCAUCUACUUCUGGCUACGGAGAUCUGGUAGAAUUAUCAGGGAGAUGAUAAGUGUGUAGUUUAGGAUCAUGCACAGAAGAAACAUAUUUAAGUUAACAAAUAUACUUUCAAUUUAACAGAAUGGUGACAAGACAUCAAGCAGAUUAUAUGCACAUAAAAACAUGUAGCUUUUUAGGGAAGGUGGAACAAGACAAUAUGCAGCUUACAUCCGUCAGCCAAUAGCACAGAAACACACAAGCAAGUAAUAAUACUGAUAACACAAAUAAAUACGAAAUGUUAUCUGAAGAGAAGGUAUGACUCACAAGCACUCCCACUCCGGCGGACGUAUAUCUUCUCGAG
This 629-nucleotide long non-coding RNA is filed under the name Triticum aestivum (bread wheat). RNAcentral describes it as "long non-coding RNA (TAES_LNC020200)". Lineage: Eukaryota; Viridiplantae; Streptophyta; Magnoliopsida; Poales; Poaceae. The record is from RNAcentral.